AACAUCCUACGGGACGCAGCAGUGAGGAAUAUUGGUCAAUGGGCGCGAGCCUGAACCAGCCAAGUCGCGUGAGGGAAGACGGUCCUAUGGAUUGUAAACCUCUUUUGUCGGGGAGCAAAAGACGCCACGCGUGGCGUUCCGAGAGUACCCGAAGAAAAAGCAUCGGCUAACUCCGUGCCAGCAGCCGCGGUAAUACGGAGGAUGCGAGCGUUAUCCGGAUUUAUUGGGUUUAAAGGGUGCGUAGGCGGAGUGUCAAGUCAGCGGUAAAAUUUCGGGGCUCAACUCCGUCGUGCCGUUGAAACUGA
Molecule: ribosomal RNA, 305 nt
Filed under: uncultured bacterium
Lineage: Bacteria
Description: bacterial SSU rRNA
Rfam family: Bacterial small subunit ribosomal RNA
Source: RNAcentral